RNAcentral lists this ribosomal RNA (445 nucleotides) under uncultured bacterium. RNAcentral describes it as "partial 16S ribosomal RNA". It matches the Rfam family "Bacterial small subunit ribosomal RNA", at positions 354 to 796 of the family's 1533-position model. The record is from RNAcentral.
GUGAGGAAUAUUGCGCAAUGGAGGCAACUCUGACGCAGCCAUGCCGCGUGCAGGAAGAAGGCGCUACGCGUUGUAAACUGCUUUUAACCGGGAAGAAACCCCAGGACGUGUCCUGGGUUGACGGUACCGGAGGAAUAAGCACCGGCUAACUUCGUGCCAGCAGCCGCGGUAAUACGAAGGGUGCAAGCGUUAUCCGGAUUCAUUGGUUUUAAAGGGUGCGUAGGCGGAGCGUUAAGUCAGUGGUGAAAUCCUGCAGCUUAACUGUAGACUUGCCAUUGAUACUGGCGCUCUUGAGUGCGCUUGAAGUGGGCGGAAUGUGCCGUGUAGCGGUGAAAUGCUUAGAUAUGGCACAGAACACCAAUUGCGAAGGCAGCUCACUAAGGCGAUACUGACGCUGAGGCACGAAAGCGUGGGGAUCGAACAGGAUUAGAUACCCCGGUAGUCC